GACGAACGCUGGCGGCGUGCUUAACACAUGCAAGUCGAACGGAAAGGCCCUGCUUUUGUGGGGUGCUCGAGUGGCGAACGGGUGAGUAACACGUGAGUAACCUGCCCUUGACUUUGGGAUAACUUCAGGAAACUGGGGCUAAUACCGGAUAGGAGCUCCUGCUGCAUGGUGGGGGUUGGAAAGUUUCGGCGGUUGGGGAUGGACUCGCGGCUUAUCAGCUUGUUGGUGGGGUAGUGGCUUACCAAGGCUUUGACGGGUAGCCGGCCUGAGAGGGUGACCGGCCACAGUGGGACUGAGAUACGACCCAGACUCCUACGGGAGGCAGCAGUGGGGAAUAUUGCACAAUGGGCGGAAGCCUGAUGCAGCAACGCCGCGUGCGGGAUGACGGCCUUCGGGUUGUAAACCGCUUUCGCCUGUGACGAAGCGUGAGUGACGGUAAUGGGUAAAGAAGCACCGGCUAACUACGUG
Molecule: ribosomal RNA, 468 nt
Filed under: uncultured bacterium
Lineage: Bacteria
Description: partial 16S ribosomal RNA
Rfam family: Bacterial small subunit ribosomal RNA
Source: RNAcentral